This 440-nucleotide ribosomal RNA is filed under the name Klebsiella quasipneumoniae. Its description in RNAcentral is "bacterial SSU rRNA". It matches the Rfam family "Bacterial small subunit ribosomal RNA", at positions 1000 to 1440 of the family's 1533-position model. The record is from RNAcentral. Lineage: Bacteria; Pseudomonadati; Pseudomonadota; Gammaproteobacteria; Enterobacterales; Enterobacteriaceae.
GCAGAGAUGCUUUGGUGCCUUCGGGAACUGUGAGACAGGUGCUGCAUGGCUGUCGUCAGCUCGUGUUGUGAAAUGUUGGGUUAAGUCCCGCAACGAGCGCAACCCUUAUCCUUUGUUGCCAGCGGUUCGGCCGGGAACUCAAAGGAGACUGCCAGUGAUAAACUGGAGGAAGGUGGGGAUGACGUCAAGUCAUCAUGGCCCUUACGACCAGGGCUACACACGUGCUACAAUGGCAUAUACAAAGAGAAGCGACCUCGCGAGAGCAAGCGGACCUCAUAAAGUAUGUCGUAGUCCGGAUUGGAGUCUGCAACUCGACUCCAUGAAGUCGGAAUCGCUAGUAAUCGUAGAUCAGAAUGCUACGGUGAAUACGUUCCCGGGCCUUGUACACACCGCCCGUCACACCAUGGGAGUGGGUUGCAAAAGAAGUAGGUAGCUUAACC